RNAcentral lists this ribosomal RNA (255 nucleotides) under uncultured bacterium. Its description in RNAcentral is "partial 16S ribosomal RNA". It matches the Rfam family "Bacterial small subunit ribosomal RNA", at positions 524 to 776 of the family's 1533-position model. The record is from RNAcentral.
UACGUAGGCAGCAAGCGUUGUUCGGAAUUACUGGGCGUAAAGAGUGUGUAGGCGGUGCUCUAAGUUCGGUGUGAAAUCUCCUGGCUCAACUGGGAGGGUGCGCCGGAAACUGGGGGUGCUGGAGCGCGGGGAGAGGAAAGCGGAAUUCCUGGUGUAGCGGUGAAAUGCGUAGAUAUCAGGAGGAACACCGGCGGUGUAGACGGCUUUCUGGACCGUAGCUGACGCUGAGACACGAAAGCGUGGGUAGCAAACAGG